GACAACUGAAUAGAAUCCAUUUUAUAGAGGUCAAAUUUUUAGAAAAGGUUUGGUUAACUAAAGUUAAUAUAUACGAAACUUACCAUGCUGGAGCUGUGACGAGAAUUUUGGCCAAGAAUGAAGAAAAGCGAUGGGUUGAAAUAUUUAAGGUUUCUCAUGCACACUUGAUCGGCAAGUCCAGGAUUUUCUCCCCCAAAAUAAAAAGCGUGAAUUUCCCUGUGAACGAGCUGAGAAUCGAAGUUGAUUGU
Molecule: long non-coding RNA, 248 nt
Organism: Saccostrea cuccullata (small rock oyster)
Lineage: Eukaryota; Metazoa; Mollusca; Bivalvia; Ostreida; Ostreidae
Exons: 3
Source: RefSeq, a predicted model, not a curated record